AAUAAGAGCAUUUUUUAUUUUUCCGUGUCCAACGUUUGAUCAUUUUUUUCUUACUAGAUGAUAAAACAUGAAUAGUACUUUAUGCGUAACUAAUUUUUUUAAGUUUUUAUACAAAUUUUUUAAAUAAGACGAAUGGUCAAACGUUAGACACGGAAAAACA
Molecule: microRNA precursor, 160 nt
Filed under: Oryza brachyantha (malo sina)
Lineage: Eukaryota; Viridiplantae; Streptophyta; Magnoliopsida; Poales; Poaceae
Description: MIR812 microRNA precursor family
Rfam family: MIR812 microRNA precursor family
Source: Rfam by way of RNAcentral